Molecule: unclassified non-coding RNA, 389 nt
Filed under: Hevea brasiliensis (rubber tree)
Lineage: Eukaryota; Viridiplantae; Streptophyta; Magnoliopsida; Malpighiales; Euphorbiaceae
Source: RNAcentral
GGGGCUUGGUACGUACGUCUUUAGCAGCGAUUUGGCCAUAAAAGGGAGGGAAAGGGGGUGACCCAUUGGGACCGCUGACAUGAGCCGCCCAACUGCGAUUCCCUUCUUUAAUAAUUAAUUCUAUCACUCUAUUUUUCAAUAAAAUCUUCUUCUGAGGUUUUCGUUCUCCAUAUAAUCACUCGGUCCAUCCUUCGCCAUGGAUAUUUUCCUCUAAUAUUUGAUUUUUCUGUUUGUUUCUUAUCAAAGAAUUUAAUAACGAGGGCCGACCAAGUUUUCAUUUCGGGUGAAUCAGUGCUUUCUCGCCGCGUUUCUUGACGGGCGGUGAGGUGAGGAUGUCAACCCCAGCAAAGAAGAGACUGAUGAGGGAUUUUAAGAGGUUGCAACAAGAU